This 253-nucleotide ribosomal RNA is filed under the name uncultured bacterium. RNAcentral describes it as "partial 16S ribosomal RNA". It matches the Rfam family "Bacterial small subunit ribosomal RNA", at positions 524 to 776 of the family's 1533-position model. The record is from RNAcentral.
UACGGAGGGUGCUAGCGUUGUUCGGAGUUACUGGGCGUAAAGGGCGCGUAGGCGGCUCGUGAAGUCGGGUGUGAAAGCCCGGGGCUCAACCCCGGAACGGCAUCCGAUACUGGCGGGCUUGAGACCGGGAGAGGAGGGUGGAAUACCCAGUGUAGAGGUGAAAUUCGUAGAUAUUGGGUGGAACACCGGUGGCGAAAGCGGCUCUCUGGCCCGGAUCUGACGCUGAGGCGCGAAAGCGUGGGGAGCAAACAGG